Molecule: long non-coding RNA, 334 nt
Filed under: Brassica napus (rape)
Lineage: Eukaryota; Viridiplantae; Streptophyta; Magnoliopsida; Brassicales; Brassicaceae
Description: long non-coding RNA (BNAP_LNC020137)
Source: RNAcentral
AACAUAAUUUCAUAGUAACACUAACUCAGUAAAGAUCCAGAGCUGAAAGGAGAUCAAGAACGAAGGCUAACUUACCUCACCUUACUAUAUAGAACCUUGGCCAGAACAAGCAAAUGUAAGAAAAAGGUAGAAAGAUAAAAUCUGAGACAAAGCAAUCCCCGAACACAAAGAAGCGCGAUCAAGCACCAACGCAAAGAACCAAGAAAGCGGGUCAGAGGAAGAAUAAUCACAGGAAGGUUAAAUUCACGCAGGAAGACACAUGCUUAAAGCACCGAAAGCACAACCACCAGCUAAGAGGUAAGAAGCACCUCACAAACUAAUUAAUCAUAUACAA